GGUUGAUCCUGCCGGACCCCACUGCUAUCGGGAUAGGACUAAGACAUGCUAGUCGUGUGACUCAGGCAAAACGAGUCACGGCACACAGCUCAGUAACACGUGGCUAAUCUGCCCUUAGGACAAGAACAACCCCGGGAAACUGGGGCUAACUCUUGAUAGGCAAAGAACUCUGGAAUGAGUCUUUACCUAAAUAGAUUCACGUUAUCCUCGUGAAUCUGCCUAAGGAUGAGGCCGCGACCGAUCAGGUUGUUGGUGAGGUAAUGGCUCACCAAGCCUUUUACCGGUGCGGGCCG
Molecule: ribosomal RNA, 293 nt
Filed under: uncultured eukaryote
Lineage: Eukaryota
Description: partial 18S ribosomal RNA
Rfam family: Archaeal small subunit ribosomal RNA
Source: RNAcentral